RNAcentral lists this unclassified non-coding RNA (270 nucleotides) under plant metagenome. RNAcentral describes it as "partial contains small subunit ribosomal RNA and internal transcribed spacer 1". The stretch from base 1 to 46 matches the Rfam family "Eukaryotic small subunit ribosomal RNA", at positions 1786 to 1831 of the family's 1831-position model. The record is from RNAcentral.
AAGUUGUAACAAGGUUUCCGUAGGUGAACCUGCGGAAGGAUCAUUACAAAAUAAAGCUGGUAGGAAGUGGGGGUCUUGAUCUGUAAGUGGUAGAAGCGAACAGUCCGGCUGCCUCCCGAAAUGUCUUACACUGGUCCCCCCACAGCCUGAAGGCCGAAUUACAAACCCUUGAUUAUCUACACUUGUUGCUUUGAGGAUGCUCAAGUAGCCCCAGAAGGACCCAACUCUCUUGCAUUUAGUGACGUCUGAGUACUAUAUAAAUAUUUAAAA